This 5602-nucleotide long non-coding RNA is filed under the name Sus scrofa (pig). Its description in RNAcentral is "lncRNA (ENSSSCG00060039701.1)". The record is from RNAcentral. Lineage: Eukaryota; Metazoa; Chordata; Mammalia; Artiodactyla; Suidae.
UUUUUUUUUUUUUUUUUGGGUCUUUUUGCUAUUUAUUGGGCUGCUCCCGCUUGGCAUAUGGAGGUUCCCAGGCUAGGGGUCGAAUUGGAGCUGUAGCUGCCGGCCUACGCCAGAGCCACAGCAACGCAGGAUCGGAACCGCGUCUGCAACCUACACCACAGCUCACGGCAACGCCGGAUCGUUAACCCACUGAGCAAGGCCAGGGAUGGAACCCGCAACCUCAUAGUUCCUAGUCGGAUUCGUUAACCACUGCGCCACGGCGGGAACUCCCAGAAGAAGGUUCUUAAGAGAAUUUGUGGUGGUUCUUUAAUUUACCUUGUUUUAAGUGCAUUUCUUAUGGUUCAGUCAUCCUCCAAGUGCGAGGCCUAGCUCAUCAGCAUUCCUGGGGAACUUGUUAGAGAUGCAAAUUCUUGGCCUACCUAACUAGAAAUUCUGGGAGUGGAGCCCAGCCAAGCCCCCAUCCCACGCAAUCCUGAUGCAAACUAAAAUUUGAGGUCCAAUCUGAUUUAGUAACUGUCAACCCUCACUGUACCUGACAGCCACCUGGAAAACUUUUGCAACUGAUAGUUUUUAGGACUCAUCCUGGGAGCUUCUUUGUCCUACGAGAGAGAACAUUGCAUCACCACUAAAAGUGAAAGAUUUAUAGUUUCAUGGCAGAGAAAUGGAAAGCUGUAUAUACAGGAAUACCUCCAUCAGCGUGCUUUGUCCUGUCUUUCCUAAACUCUGCAGGGGAUCUGUAUCCCUAAUUUCUGGACUGGUUGGCUGGUGUUUUGUGUAUAGACUCCAGAAAGUUAACUCCUAAGAGUUCAUUUCAUUCAUUAGUGAAGCCCAGGUUCUGUGUGCUCCACUCACUAUCUCUAACCUCUCUGAGCCUCUGUUUCCUAUUCCGUAAAAUGGGAAUGUGAGAAAACAUUGUGAAGAUUAAAUAAUAAAUAAGAUCAAAAUGCUCAAGAUAUCCAAAUCCCUUUUCCAAAUACUUUCUAAUUCUAUCCCCAGUAAUAAAAUCAUCCAUCAAAUCUUUUUUUUUUUUUUUCCCUGCUUCCACAGCAUAUAGAAGUUCCUGGGCUAGGGAUUGAAUCCAAGUUGCAGCUGCAACAUUUGCCACAGCUGUGGCAAUGCCAUAUCCUUAACUCACUGCUGUGGGCUGGGAGCCAACCCAUGCUGAAGCAGUGACCCAAGCCACUGUAGAGACAGAGCCAGAUCUUCAACCUGCUGUGCCACUGCGGGAACUUCCCCCAAUUUUUUUUUUUUUUUUUUUUUUUUUUUUGUCUUUUCAGGGCUGCACCUGAGGCAUAUGGAAGUUCCCAGGCUAGGGGUCUAAUUGGAGUUGUAGCUACUGGCCUGGCCACAGCCACAGCAACACAGGAUCCUUAACCCACUGAGUGAGUCUGGGGAUCGAACCCGCAACCUCAUGGUUCUUAGUCGGGUUUGUUUCUGCUGCGCCACGACGGGAACUCCCCAAAUCUGUUUUUAAAAAUUUUUAUCGAAAUACAGUUGAUUUACAAUGUUGUAGUUUUAGAUACACAGUAAAGUGAUUUAGUUACACAUACACAAGUAUAGUCUUUUUUUUACAUUCUCUUCCAUUAUAGGUUAUUACAAGAUAUUCAAUAUAGUUCCCUGUGCUGUAUAGUAGGACCUAGUUUUUUAAAUCUGUUUUUUAAUGUCUAGUAAUAUGUAUAUUUUAAUCCUAAUCUCCUAAUUUAUCCCUCUCUUCCCCACCCCACCCUUUGGCAACCUUAAGUUUGCUUUCUAUGUCUGUGAGUAGUCUAUUUAUGUUUCUAAAUAAGUUUAUUUGUAUCCUUUUUUUAGAUUCCACAUAUAAGUGAUACCAUAAAUUUGUCUCUGGUUUACUUCGCUUAGUAUGAUGAUCUCUAGGUCCAUUCAUGUUGCUGCAAAUGGCAUUUCAUUCUUUUUUUUGUGGCUGAGUAAUAUUCCAUUGCAUAUAUGUAUAUACCACAUCUUUAUUCAUCCGUUAAUGGACCCUUAAGUUGCUUCCAUGUCUUGGCUUUUAUCAAGUAUAUUAUCACAUUUUUUAAAAUUGCUUUUUAGGGCCACGCCUGCACUCCGUUUCGACCCCUAGUCUGGGAACUUCCGUAUGCUACAGGUGCAGCCCUGAAAAGAAAAAAAAAAAUGAAGCAUCAGAAUUGAGAUGUGCUAUAAAUGUAUAGGAUGUUGAAGACUUAGUAUGAAAGAAAAAAUAAAUAUAAGGAUGUAAAAUAUCCCUUUGAUAAUUUUCAUGUUGGUUUCAUGUUGAAAUGCUAUGAUACUAUUUUGGUUAUAUUGGGUUGUAUGAAACAUGGAUUUUGUCUGUUUCUCUUUAUAUUUUAAAGGUGGUUAUUGAGAAAUAUAAAAUGUGGCUUGCAGUAUGUUUCUCUUGAACAGUGCUCUAAUAGUGCUAAUGACAUUAGUGUCUGAUGACACUAGCAAGAAAUAGCAAAAUUGAAAAAGCAAGCCACACACCUGUAGGACAAGUAAAAUGAUGAAACUGUGGUCCCCCAAGUCAUUUCUUUACAUUAGCACAACCAGCUCUGUCUUCAUGUGUGGGAAGCCUGUUGAAUUCGUCUUCGUGAGACCAGUUUAUAGCCCUUCUCCUUUUUUGCUUUUGAUGUGUGCUAAGAACCUCUGUGUUUGAAAAAGUGAUAGCCUACCAUUUGCUCCCUGAACUUAAGAGGAAUUUGAGCUGUGGCUGCUGGUUUAGCCCCACUGAUUUCAAUAUGGAGCAUCUCCAUGAAAUGCAUUUUUUAAAUACUGUGAUUUUGGCCUUUGUAUGUUUUUCUGUUAAGUGUCCUGUUAGCAGAGGAAUGUAAUUGUUCUGCCCCAGCGUUUUUUUCCUCUGUCCAUACAAGGGAGUUACCAGUCUUGGAAUUCAGAUUUAUAACCACUUCCUUGUUUUUCUAAUGCCUCCUAAUAUACUUUUAAAAAGGGACUUGACCUUCACAUAAUUCAUCCUUUUCCUUGAAAUGGCGAGUCGCCCACUUUGGCAGCCUUGGCUUUGAAUGACCUAUGGAACUCUUGUAUCUUCCCAUAUUGAAAGUUGCUUUUUAAACUGAGCACAGUGAAAAUUUCUUAUAUGGAAACGUAAAUACAGUAUCAUGCAAAGAUUAUUUUCUGCCUUUAUACAGCUUUGUCAUAUUUGGGGGGUCCUUACUCAGAAUAUCUCUGGCUGAGUAAUGGGUUUGAGGCUGAUACUUAGACACUUAUGUCGACAUUUUAUUUACCUUAUUUAUUCAUUUGUGUCUUUUUAGGGCCACACCCGAGGCAUAUGGAGGUUCCCAGGCUAGGGGUCGAAUCGGAGCUGUAGCUACUGGCCUACACCACAGCCCCAGCAACAGCAACACAGGAUCCUAGCCGUGUCUGUGACCUGCACCACAGCUCACGGCAAUGCCAGAUUCUUAACCCACUGAGUGAGGCCAGGGAUGGAACCCGCAUCCUCAUGGAUCCUAGUCGGUUUGUUAACCACUGAGCCGUGAAGGGAACUCCCCUAGGUUGACAUUUUAAAGACACUUGAGCCAUGGAGUUUUGAGCUUGUGGAGGAAAUUUUUUUCAUUUCAGAGCAUCAUUCUCGGAGUUCCCAUUGUGGCUCAGUAGCUUAAGAACCCGACUGGUAUCCAUGAGGACUCGGGUCUGAUCCAUGGUCUCCCUCAGUGGGUUAAGGAUCUGGUAUUGCCGAGAGCUAUGGGUGUAGGUCACAGACUCGGCUUGGAUCCCAUGUUGCCGUGGCUGUGGCAUAGACCGGCAGCUAUAGCUCCGAUUCGGCACCUAGCCUGGGAAGCUCCAUCCAUAUGCAGCAGGUGCACCCCUGAAAAGAAAGAAAAACAAAAGAACGUCAUUUGUGUUGGUGUUUUGCCUGUUGUAUCAAGCCUGAGGUACCUCAGGCUUUUUAGAUCUGUGUAGUGCGUGCUUUGUCCAUGGUUCUUAUUACAGCAGAAAUGCCAGGUUAUCUGCUCCAUCUUAUGGGUGCAGGGGUAAUGCUUGUGUCCCUCUGGAUAUGCAACACAUGGUUCUUUGACCUUGAACUUGGGUGCUGCGAGUUACGUGUCAUGAGACAUAUCCUCUUUCCACUCCAGGAAAGCUUUUCAUCGUCUUAACAAGAGGCAGUAACUCAACACUUCCAGCUCUCACUGCCCCCCUCCCCAAUUAUAGCAUAUUAAGAGAUGAUAAAUAUGCAAAACUUGAGGCCAGAGAGGCAAAGAGGUUGGCUCAGUGUUUUACUGUUUCUUGUGAAUGGCGUCAGGACUUGGCAGCCAAUUUUGUGGACAGAACUGCGGGCUCUGUUUCCUGAUCUCAACUCUGCCAGUUACAUGCGUGAGGCUCCUGCAAGUCCGUUCACCCUCUUGGCUUUCCACAUGGGUAAAAUAAGAUGCUCUCAAAAGUCUCAUUAAGCUUUAAAGUUCUGUAUUUCCUGUUCAGGUCUCUUUCCAACCCCCUGUGCUCGCAUUCAUCUCUUCAUCCGCUGGUAAUUGCUUCUGUAAGAGAGUCGGAAUGCAGUACAUUUAUUUUUUACUGGAGUGGUGCAAGGUCCCACGGGCUUCUGGAAGAAAGGGAUAUACCUCUUAAUUGAAGUGUGUUCAGGUCUCUCGCAGAACCUCGUCAGAAUGUACCUUCUUCUUACUCUUACCCAUGGCGUUUCUUGUAAUCGCUACUAAUUAAGAACAAACAGAAGGGAAAGAAUGUGAUCCUAUUAUAUAGAGAGAUUAUAAUGACCUUCUUUUGAAAUAUGCAGGUCUUUUUUUUCCACAUUUCCUUAAGCACAGAGCAGAGCUGUAGACAGGAAAUCUCUGUCUCUGACCUCUCCAAGGGGAAAAUCAAAGCUUUGAAAAAGUGAAAGAAGAAAAUAAUUGAGGUAGGAAGAGAAAGAGAAAGGAAGAGAAAGGCUCUUUAUAGGUCUGCUGUAUUUAUGAAUGUUUUAUUUCUCAAGUGGAGUAAGGAAAGGUUAUCUGGUCAAGAAAUUAGGUAGUAUAAAAGCUAAUCUCCUCCUGAGUUUUAUCUAGAUAUACUUAAAGAUAUAAUUUACUGUACUCUUUAGAAGCACAUUUAAAGUAAUAAAACAGCUAAGUAGAAAGCAAUUUAAAUAUUUUUAAGAAGUCUGCAGAGUCCUGAUUGAUCGAAUAAACAUACCAGCUGUUAAACAGUUGUUAACUAAUUACCUUGCAUUCUUCAUCCAAACAAGACCAAAAAAAACUUUUCUUAAAUUUAUUCAGAACAUAUUUCACAGAUGGUGGGCAGCUUUGGAUUUAGAUAUUUAGAUAUUUUGCCAAUUUGCAAUAGUGGGAAUAUCAGUAGCUUAACAAUAACAACAGCAGCAACAAUAAAACUAAGAUAAAAUUUUAUUUUCUGUUAAAACUAUGGAGGGUGGGAUUUGAAUAUGAAAGACUGUUACACCGCAGAUAAAAUUGGAUGUCUGAGAGUCUGCCUGGAGCCAUUUAGUUAAAACAUUGCUAAUCAAAUCAUGAUGGAACAGUUAUUUAGACGGAAAUUUGAUUUUUCUGAAGUCAGCUUUAGAAAGUCUGUGGCUACUUAAUGUCAGUUUCACACAGGAUGGGUUCCUAUUAUUACCAAAUUUUGAAGCCCCCUGCCAGGGUUUGCCAAAAAAAAAAAAAAA